GCCAAUGUCCAUACCAUGUUGAAUACACCGGUUCUCGUCCGAUCACCGAAGUCAAGCAACAUCGGGCAUGGUCAGUACUUGGAUGGGUGACCGCCUGGGAACACCACGUGAUGUUGGCU
Molecule: ribosomal RNA, 119 nt
Filed under: Bombyx mori (domestic silkworm)
Lineage: Eukaryota; Metazoa; Arthropoda; Insecta; Lepidoptera; Bombycidae
Source: RNAcentral